UGGGUCGAGGCGGGUGUCCGAGGAGGGCUCACCCUCCCGCUGCCGCCGCCAACUCAGGGACGGUGGGCCGUCGGCCUGGGUCCCCGCGUGGUGGAGGGGAGCCAGAGGCCUUCCCAGUCUGGGGAGGGGAGCUGAGGCAUUAGCUAAAGAAGAUAUUGAUGCUGCUAUUCAAUCAAUAUUAUAUAGAGAAAAUUAUGUAAUUAAGGUUUUAGCAACCAAGGAGCUCAUACCCUGAUCGUUUACUGGUAAAAGAGGGCACAAAAGAAGGCUGCUUCAAGGAAGCCAUCUGCCAGCAGGAGUCAUUCAGGAUGAGGACCAAGGAAGGCCAUGGAGAAAUGUCCUGUGUCUAAGAAAAGCGUCUGCAAUAAACUUCACUUAAUGUUUGAGGAUUCUGUUACUUACGGCUGCCACGAAGACGUCCAACUAUAAUGAACAUUUUGGGCCAGAACAAUUAAAGAAGUGGCCAGAGCCCGAGUCAGUGGCUUUGAUGGAGAUUACCGUGCCUCUGUUCUAUGAUCCUCUGCUUAGAAGACAGGGAGGCACUGCUGAAGAGCAGAGAGCUGUUCUUCCGUACAAGACAGGAAAAUGAUGUACCUUAAGAGAAUUUAAAGAACUAGAGAAGGCCAGGCAGUGUGCCAGACUGCCCCAGUUCAUUUCCACUCUCCGCAGCGUGGUUCCAAAAGAGAAGCCCAAAGCCUCUGUGAGACCCGUGGGGAGCAAAACCCAAGUCACAUGCAGUUCCCAAAAGCUUAUCUGUGCAGAAGAGAAAUAUCCGCCUGGUAAAGAGAAAAACACUAUCAACCCAAGUCAGACUGUUUUUGAAAGGCAGUUCACUCCUUGAAGGUCAGCCCGGAGAGUAAAAGGCAUGAGAAGAAGGGUCUGGUGAGCAGGGAUCUGGGGGGAGCAGGGCUGGGAUGGAACAGCUGUACAACUCCCACCCUGACAGUGAGCACUGAGUCCAGAAUCUACUGACAAAUCCCUCCCUCUCACGUGGGCUCCCAGGGCAGAGCAGGUAGUAACUGCAGGAGGGAGUGAAAAAGAGGGGGCAAAGGAAGAUUAAUUUUAAGCAGAAGCAGCAGUGAGGUUGCUGCUGGGCUCAGUGCUGCUGCCCAGCCGGGCACCCUUCAGCAGGGGAGCCAUGCGUGAAGACCUUCAGAAAAGAAACAGAUUGUGGGACCCUGGACUCCACUUUCGUGGGACAGAUUGUGCCUUACAAGGUGAGGGAUCUGCCUUCUAAGAUUUCCUUGGCUCUUUUUCCUGAGUUUUUUCUCUUCUGACAUUUUCCUACCAUUUACUACAUAUUACAUCCAAAUCAGAACGAAAAUUUAUUCUCCUUAGUUCAGGUACAGUAGGUAGGAACCUUUUGAAAUGAAAUUUAUACUAAAAAAAUCUAGGGCAAAAUGUAGUCUAGCUAUAUAAAAGGUACUUAUAUGCAGGAAAUUUCCAUGCACACAUUUCCUGUCCAGAGCUCACACCCCAGUUGGCACAGCUGACAGCUCACGGCCUAUUGCCCCCUCCACUCUCUCUCCCACACCCUGUCCCCUAAAGCCCAAGGGUCAGGAUGCUUCCAGAGGAGGCUCAGGGCACUUGGUAGGUAAUGGGUUCAAGCCCUCCCGAGUGAUCUGUAGAUCUUUGUGUCUCCUUCACCCACCAGCCUGGCCCCUUCCCUCCACCACACACAAAGCUGUCUUUCUAGCUUGAGAACCUUGUUAGUUAGGUAUUUUGUGAACCAGCUCCUCCCCAGUUCCACUGUUCUCCCCAGUCUCUCCAGAGAGAAGCAGGGGCUCCCUGUGUGUCAGUUCCCUCUGAGCACAAUGCUGUCUGAGAGCACAGGGAGCCCUCAGUCAGGUCUGAACAUGUCAGCUCGGCCCUGACAGCAGGGUAGCCGAACUGCUGUUCUCAAGAGACCAGAAAGUGGAGUAUGGUUUACGCACACUGGGAGUUUAUUUUUCACUCCUGUACCAGACAGAGCUGGGUGGGUCUGCAGGUCGGUAGGCCAUCCCUGUUUCUUGCGGUCUUUCAGGCCCCUGGCUGAAGGAACGUUUGUCAUCUCCGCACCUGGCUUCCAAGGUUGCCCCGGGAACUCAUUCCUGUCAGCCUGAGAAGGGAGAGGUCACGGAGGAAUUCUGCCCUGGGAGUGUAGGUGGAUGGGGACCCAGUCACCAGGUGGCCCCUAACUGCAGGGAGUAGGUGCUGGGAAGAGCAGUCCCCGGCCGCUCUGAGCAGUGGCAGGGAGAGCAGCAUCUCGUGGACAGCUGGUCAUCUCUGCUACACCGUAAAAAGGUAGUGCUGCGUGGAGUCCAGAGACACGGAAGCCCUGUCUGAGAGCUGCAGACACCAGACAGAGUGAGGGGGAGGUGAGGCGGGGCUAGGAAGCUGGCCUGGGAGAUGAGUGGCCAUGGGCAUUGGCCCGGAAGUUCCUCUCUGCCCCGUAAGCCCCUCUUCCCCACCCUACGCUCAGCUCUCCUCUUCUGUCGUAAGCUUUAGGAGGCAGACAGCACAGGCCUGGAUCCUAGACGGCGGGGGAAGGCCAGCAGAGGUGGGGGUCCCAGCCUGCGCAGAGAAGAGUGAUGACAGCAGAGGUCCUGGCGCAGCACCUGGCCGCCCUGCAGCGGGGAGUCAGAAGUGGAAAAAUAUUGCAAGCAAUAUCCGAGUAAGAACAGCUGCUGUUUACUGCGCUCCUGUUGUGAAUCAGAAACUGCAUGAGGUGCAGUCUCCCUGGUGCCGAAGCACACGCUCCCUCACCAGGGCACACGCCCUCCUCACAGCCACUUGGACUUUUUGAGGUUAGUCAGACCGCUCAGAAUUUGAGUUCCCCCCGGAGGGUGGAGCUGCCCCACUGGCCCGCCAGGGCGCCCGAGAGGGGCUUGCUGGACACUCCUCAGGCCGCUCAGCCCCUCCCCAGGCGAUGUAGUCCCAGGGUGCCCCCUCCCUUUCCUUGCCUUUCAGAAAACCAGGCUCAUGUUUUAGUCAGGAGAGAAUGUGAUUUCUUAAGGAGCAAAGCUGUGUUCCUAAGUCCAAAGGGGUGACUGGAGUUGCUGGAAGUACUUACAUUAAAAAUCCUGUCGUUUCAUAGAAGCCAUCUGACUCACAUCCUGUGAGCUCCUCUGUCCAAAUCGGACAACCCUGACACAUCUAAUAAAGGAGAAAUGGCACUGGCCACAGUUCAUCCCACGAGGAAGUCCCACAGACCCAGGAAAGGGCUAUCCUGUAGCUUUGUCAUAGGUAACCCUAGAACUGGUUUUAAGCCUGCCUGACCCAUCAGUGAUAACCUGACGCUCUGAAAGUCAGCCGAUCAGAGGCCGACUUCCUGACAUCAGCCCACACCCACCUCCAUAACCAGCACAGCCCGCUUCCCCAGGCCCUGUAGAAGAGCAGCACUUUGCUUUGCUCAGUGCAGCUGAGCCUGACCAGCCAGACUUCCCUGAAUUAAGCAACACACUCAGUUGCCUGUGUUCAGAUAUUGUGUGUCUCUUCCUUUGACACUGUGCCGUAUUUCCUUUAUGUCUAUGUUUUAGCCAACUCAGUGUCCAGAAUCAAUACCUGGAAUGAUGGCCUUUUUUUCACUUGAAUAUUCUGAAUUACGUUUUCUAGUUUUUAUUUGCUCGGUGAUUACAUUAUGACAGAAACCUGUCUAUGGUGGAGGGACACUUGACUCCUUCAUUCCUUCCUUCCAGCUCCUAGAGAAGACCUGCUCCCUGAGAAAUCAGGGCUAAAAGACAGAUCUUUUCCCAGUUGUAUUCAUUAACCCAGGGAUCUAGUGUCUUUAAGACCUUAUUUUUAUCAAUGUUCAAGGCAGAUUUCACACUUCAAAAUCUAGAGGCCGAGGAAGCAGGUCUGACAGGUGUGGAUGUGGCUCUGGCAGGAUUGGGGCAGGGGGAGAGGCAGGUGCUUCUGGAGCUGGAGGGGCCGAGGGGCCCGCUGCCAUUUAACUCUGGUGCAUUUUCUUCAUGGCUAAGUCACCCCGAAGUUUCUACUCAACUAGGCAAGCAGAGGGGCUCACAAGGGGACAGUCUAGCUCCCACAGAGAUCAGCCAUUCUAGCCAUCAAAGAAACUGAGCCCCAGAAACAGUAGGUCAAGUGACCGGAGUCACAGGGCAAGCCAAUGGCAGUCAAGUGAGUGCUUCCCCUCCAUAUUCUGUCCUUGGUUUUUCUCCCUGUUGCAGAAAAGAAAUUUGGUUUUGUCAUAAGCAACCCCUGAAGUCACCUUUUAAAAGCCUUUCACAUAGAAAAUAAGUCAGGCUUUGAAGAAGUUACAUUCAUAACUUAUAUUUUUAUUCUCUUUCUGUACAUAUUGGCAAUGAUAAAGCUUAAAGAUGCAUGUCCUGUGACAUACACAAAAACAAGGACUUUACAUAAAUAAUUUAUACUUCAGAAAAUUAAAGUUGAAAAAUAUUUUCCGUGUCAUUAGAGUUCACAGUAUUUAAAGGAAAUCAAGCUUUCCCCCUUAGAUUUCAGACUACAUAGCCUCAGCAGAGGAUGGUAAAAUCUAACCAGGAAUAAAAUGAUUGAGUUUGUUUUUAUUCAGUGCACGAGCAGACACUAUGUCGGUAUCAGGCUGUUCCCAGGCGGAGGCUGCAGCAUUUCUUCCAGUCCUUCACCUCCUGAGUGGCCGUGACCCAGCAGAGGUCACAUGGCAUGGAAUGGUUAGAGCAUCACCCAAACCACCCACAGUGGACACAUUCAACCAAGUGGUAACGUCUGGUGGUCUGAUGCCUCAUUUCCACGUAAUACUUUUUAUAGCCCUGAAAAUGGAAACCUUGGCAUCUAAACACAGCCGAACAUGUUAACACUAAUACAAGGCACUGUACUAUGGGGUUUGGUUUAUUUAUAGGAAGGAUCAUGUUUGCAUAGAUUGCUAGCGAUUUAGUGUGCAAUAAAAUAGAGGCCUGGCACGCGCGGCCUUGCGAUGGGUGAAGCCGCCUGACGCUCCUCCAGCUGAGGGGCUGCGCCGGCGGUCUUCUCCAGCCCAGGCCCAGAGGGCAGAACCCCGAGGCCCCUACAGGAGGGUUUUUUGCUCAAAAAGCUGCAGGUCAAAGCGGACCCAGACCUCCCCGGUGGGGACCUCGUGCAGCAGGAGUCGGCGGGUUGUAGGGCCUUUGCUUUCCUGUUCUGUUCGAAUUUUUGCCACUGCAACUUCGGUGCGACCCAGGAAAUCUGGUGAAUAGACACGUGAGAGUCAGAAGUCUGUCUUCUUUAAAAAAAAUUGUUAAAAACUACCACAGGAGGAGUGUCUGAAGGAGGAUUCAUAAAACCUUCAAAUCUAAGACAAGUAGGUUCUGGUCAAGGGCUGUUGGACACUGAAUGGAUGUGUGCAGAAUGAGGGGUUUGUGUGAGGGAAACUGCCUCUUGGGAAUCCAAGUCUCUUUGGUUGGGGAAUGUCUCACCCCCUCAGGCGGUGCCAGGAGCACAGCGUUUCCAUUAGGGAAGCACAGGUAACUGGGGUCAGAGACCUGAAACAAAACUGAGGCCACCCAGCCACCCCUUCCCCCUGAGAAGGUGCCCCACCUGCUGCCACUGUGAACUGCUGAGGACCAUGGCCUGUGUCACUGCCCUUCAGUAUCAAGGGGCGACAACAAGUCAGAGCACCCUGGCUCCGGACCCUGGAUCCUAGAGUACAGGGGGACCUCCAGACCCCCUCCCCGAGUUAUACUUUACCAUCUGGUGAGAACUGGUCUCUGUCGAACAUGGUGAGACACAGCACAUCCUGAUAAAGAUCCUUAAUGAAGAACUGGCAGUUAAAAUUCCA
Non-coding RNA from Vicugna pacos (alpaca), 5749 nucleotides. The record is from RefSeq and is a predicted model, not a curated record. Lineage: Eukaryota; Metazoa; Chordata; Mammalia; Artiodactyla; Camelidae.